CAAGGCUUGACAUACACGAGAACGGGCCAGAAAUGGUCAACUCUUUGGACACUCGUGAACAGGUGGUGCAUGGUUGUCGUCAGCUCGUGUCGUGAGAUGUUGGGUUAAGUCCCGCAACGAGCGCAACCCUCGUUCUAUGUUGCCAGCACGUAAUGGUGGGAACUCAUGGGAUACUGCCGGGGUCAACUCGGAGGAAGGUGGGGAUGACGUCAAAUCAUCAUGCCCCUUAUGUCUUGGGCUUCACGCAUGCUACAAUGGCCGGUACGAUGGGCUGCGAUACCGUAAGGUGGAGCGAAUCCCAAAAAGCCGGUCCCAGUUCGGAUUGAGGUCUGCAACUCGACCUCAUGAAGUCGGAGUCGCUAGUAAUCGCAGAUCAGCAACGCUGCGGUGAAUACGUUCCC
Molecule: ribosomal RNA, 401 nt
Filed under: uncultured bacterium
Lineage: Bacteria
Description: bacterial SSU rRNA
Rfam family: Bacterial small subunit ribosomal RNA
Source: RNAcentral